UGCCUUGCAUGACCUUGAUCACAGUUCUUGAGAUUCUUGGCUUGUAUAAGAACAACCUUCUGAACUAGGUUGCUUCUGAACAACCUUCUGAACUAGGUUGCUUCUGAACUGGUUGCUUCUGAACAACCUUCUGAACUAGGUUGCUUCUGAACAACCUUCUGAACUAGGUUGCUUCUGAACUGGUUGCUUCUGAACAACCUUCUG
RNAcentral lists this long non-coding RNA (204 nucleotides) under Medicago truncatula (barrel medic). RNAcentral describes it as "long non-coding RNA (MTRU_LNC005006)". Lineage: Eukaryota; Viridiplantae; Streptophyta; Magnoliopsida; Fabales; Fabaceae. The record is from RNAcentral.